Molecule: long non-coding RNA, 1718 nt
Organism: Fukomys damarensis (Damara mole-rat)
Lineage: Eukaryota; Metazoa; Chordata; Mammalia; Rodentia; Bathyergidae
Source: Ensembl
GUCCACAAAUCUUUGGUGGACAUCUGCUCUCCCCUGUGCUCUGGGGUGUACCAGGCACUCAGGGUACAGAGAUGAAGGCCUCAGCCUUUCCUGGAGGAACUGAGUCUGGGAGAGAAGACAGCCUGUACACGGAUGUGAUUUGCAUCAACGCAGAGCAGCAGCUCGUGGAGGCAGCACAUGGGACACAGGGGCGGGGCUGCAAGGUUGAAGGGACCUGUAGGACUGGAACAAUCUAGAACGUUCCAGAAACAGGAUGCCCUCCCCAGCCCCACCGGGCUCUCAGUCCCACCCUGUGACUGGGCCCUGAGUGCCCCACGGGCACCCACAUCCUCCUGUUUGCCUUUUUCAUCUGGAAAAGGCCUUCAAGGGCCUUCUCUGAGAAGCCAUCCUCAGUUUCCCUCGUGGCUCUGGGAGAGUCUGGGGCCUGCAGGUGUUGAGGGGUGGAGAGUAGCAGGGGCUAGGAAGGCAGAGGUGGUGGGGAGGCUGGGGCUUACUCGCUGGCAGCAGGGACACAGAGAACAGGAGAAGACGAGCAGCCCGCAGGGGAGGGGAGCCUGGAAGUGUGUGGGGUAUGGGCCUCUGAACUGGGGAGAAGGUGAAGUGCUCCAGGUCCAAGGUGCCACCCUCAGCCAGUGCCACCCCUGUGCCCGAGGGGCUCACCUUGGACCAGCGCCCUCAUCCUCCUGUGAGCGUAGCACCCCAGCAUCCAUCACCUUCCAAGAACCCCACCCUGAACACACGAGUCCCUGGGGUGACAUUGUAGAUGUCGCCGUACCAGUGGCCUUGGGAGCACAGAAUGUUGCCAUUCUUGCCUCUGUCCUGUCAUUCUUGCCCUUCAGGGAAAUCUGAAUUCCCUCCUCUCUUUCCAGCAAGUGCGGCCCCAUCCCGUCCUACCUGGAUGGCCACCGAGUCUUCACCGAAGUCCUCUGGGGCCAGUCUGUGCCACCGCAGCCUGAGUGAUCACAGGAUGCCCGCCGCAGUGCGACAUGUUCUAUUGUAAAAAAUCAGAUACUCUCAUAGCAAAACUUCAGAUGGUAGUGAGAGUAGUGGGGGAAGCCAAGGAUCGGCCUUUCCUUGUCCCAGGCUGCAAGCCUGCCCCCCAGAGGAGCCUGCGUGUGGCAGCCAUCACGUGCAGAUGUGUAACUGCGUGUGCGCCCCCACGGCAGCCCAGCCUCUGCACCUGCACUCUCCACCUGCACGCGCACAGGUCCCUCAGUAAGUUCACAACUUUCCCUCGGAGAAGUAUUAUAUAUCCCGCGAUAAGCGAAUAUCCACACAGCGGUCCUUUGUCUACCCUUGUGAAUGGACUCUUCUCUUCCCGAGUGUCUUCUGACUGGCUGUGUGUUCCUGGGGAACCUUUCCAAACAGCCUGCCCUCGCUGGAAGCGCCUGGACAGCGGAGGCCCCCACUGCCGGGCCGCUCCCCUCCACGCCUGGAUUCCGGGUGUCCCCGGCUCACCGAUACCACCCUUGCUUCUCACCUCCUGGGGCAGUGGGUGCCGGGGCGAAGUGGAUUUUUGUGACUAUGAGCGUCACCCCCGACGGUGUCCCAGGCCACCCGGCCCCUGCCGAGCGGAUUCUAGGGGUUGGACUCGGAACUUGUGGUUUGGGGCCGUGGGGACCCUGAGAACCUGCUCGGCCCAUGUCCACACCCUCUCACAGGGAGAUCGGAAGCUCCAUCAGCCCCUCCGGGCGGCCACCUCUGGGACUGCAGACUAG